ACAGUAACAGAAGAAAGAGUGGGUAUGAUGUGGAAGACAUGAUAAAAAAUCAUUUACCGAGAUAAUGAGAAGAAGUAUCAGCUCCAUGGAUGGAUCAGGCUCAAUGCUGGGAACUGCACUGCAGAAAAAGUUUUUCCUCUUUGAGUGGCACCUCAAAGCCACAAUGGUGUCAAAAUAACCACAACAACAGAUGCAAUUUUGCCACAAUUGAUCAAUUGAUACAUAUUUCUGUAUAGUCUACAUCGAAGUGCUGGAAAUUCACCCCACUGGGUUUGCUCGGGAUCUUCCUUGACGAGCUGGAUGGACUGCUCUCUUCCCUCCCAGAUGAUGGCUGCCAACUUCUAAUUCUUGAGGACCUGAACAUCCACCUGGACAGCCCUACUGGUGCUGACUUCUUUCUUCAUUCAGCAUCACACAGCUGCGCACACCACCCUCUCACAAGGCUGGCAAUCUGCUUGACCUUCUUCUGUCACACAACUGCACUCCCACUAAUGCAACUGUCACUCCACUACACACGUAUGACCACUUUUUCAUUCAAUUAUCCCUGUUGCUUCCUUCUUCUCAAUCUUCUCCUCUCCACACUGUAUCCUUCUACUGACAUCUCUUUCCCACCCCUUUCUCUUCCAUAGUCUCCUCUGCUAUCUGCACUCCUGACUGCUUCUACUGUCUUGACACCAACACUGCCACAAACACCGUAUACUCGACUAUGUCUUCCAGUCUUAACAAUGUUUGUCCUCUCUCAUCAAGGCCUACAUGUGAAAGACCCUCCUGUCCUUGGUUUUCUGAAGCACCCCACAAUCAAUGGGCCGAGCUCAGGACAGCUAAAAGGAAAUGGAGGAAGUCCAAAGCUCAGACAAAUUUGGCUAACUAUCAAUCCCUUCUUGCAUCCUUUUCUUUUGCCACCAUCAAUGCUAAGCACAGAGAAACUGCCCAGUGAGGGCACCUAACUGCGCCAUCUGUUCCUAUGAGAAUAAAGCCACCAGACUCCCAGAAGGAGGCAUCAUGCCAGUAGUUGGACUUCCUCUAAGUGACUGCCAGAGAAGAGCUCUGCUAUCUUAGUUGUUAUCUUACCACAACAACUGUCAUUUUUGCUUACUUUGCAUUUGUAUUAAACGGGACGAUG
Molecule: long non-coding RNA, 1123 nt
Organism: Polypterus senegalus (gray bichir)
Lineage: Eukaryota; Metazoa; Chordata; Cladistia; Polypteriformes; Polypteridae
Exons: 3
Source: RefSeq, a predicted model, not a curated record